This 95-nucleotide ribosomal RNA is filed under the name Paenibacillus forsythiae. Lineage: Bacteria; Bacillati; Bacillota; Bacilli; Caryophanales; Paenibacillaceae. RNAcentral also lists the same sequence under 4 other names. The record is from RNAcentral.
UUCCACGCGUACCCAUCCCGAACACGACCGUUAAGCCCUCCAGCGCCGAUGGUACUUGGACCGAAGGGUCCUGGGAGAGUAGGACGUUGCCAAGC